UACGGAGGGUGCAAGCGUUAUCCGGAUUCACUGGGUUUAAAGGGUGCGUAGGAGGGCAGGUAAGUCAGUGGUGAAAUCCUCAAGCUUAACUUGAGAACUGCCGUUGAUACUAUCUGUCUUGAAUACCGUGGAGAUGAGCGGAAUAUGUCAUGUAGCGGUGAAAUGCUUAGAUAUGACAUAGAACACCAAUUGCGAAGGCAGCUCGUUACGCGAAUAUUGACUCUGAGGCACGAAAGCGUGGGGAUCAAACAGGAUUAGAAACCCGGUAGUCC
Molecule: ribosomal RNA, 272 nt
Filed under: uncultured prokaryote
Description: partial 16S ribosomal RNA
Rfam family: Bacterial small subunit ribosomal RNA
Source: RNAcentral